RNAcentral lists this unclassified non-coding RNA (408 nucleotides) under Aggreflorum longifolium subsp. sativum. RNAcentral's name for it is "Leptospermum madidum subsp. sativum partial external transcribed spacer". Lineage: Eukaryota; Viridiplantae; Streptophyta; Magnoliopsida; Myrtales; Myrtaceae. The record is from RNAcentral.
GUGCUGGUGCAUCGAACUGCUUUCCUCACGUUUGAUCAGUCAUUGCUCCGCGUUCAAACGUCGGAUGCAAAGCGGGGGGGGUUCCUGUGUUGCCUACCUAUCGAGAUGGAAAUCGGUUGCCUUGGUUGUGCCUUUCGUCCUCGCGUCCUCUUGGACGUUCGGAUGGACUAGAUGGAAGCGCUCGUGCUCCACGGACGUCUCACACGAUCGUUCCGAUGGACCACGAGCGCCUUCUCGCUCUCUCGGAAGCGGAAAGUCCCUCAUGGGCGUGGGUCAUUGGCCCUCGGUCCCGAAUCUGUAAGCGAUCAUCGCUUUACAUCGGAAUGACGCUCUUGCCUCGUCUUCGACCACGCGGAGCUCCUUGUCUCCCGUGAUGGAUCGUGCGGGGCGGACGUCGUGAAGGAAUGC